GAUGAACGCUAGCGGCAGGCCUAAUACAUGCAAGUCGAACGGAUAUAUGUUUUUCGGAAUAUAUAUUAGUGGCGCACGGGUGAGUAACACGUACAUAACUUGCCCUCAAGCGGGGGAUAGCCUUGGGAAACUGAGAGUAAUACCCCAUAGAAUUAUUGGACGGCAUCGUUUGAUAAUUAAAACUACGGUGUUUGGGGAUAGAUGUGCGUCUGAUUAGCUAGUUGGUGAGGUAACUGCUCACCAAGGCGACGAUCAGUAGGGGGCGUGAGAGCGUGGCCCCCCACACGGGUACUGAGACACGGACCCGACUCCUACGGGAGGCAGCAGUAAGGAAUAUUGGUCAAUGGAGGGAACUCUGAACCAGCCAUGCCGCGUGAAGGAUGACGGCCCUCUGGGUUGUAAACUUCUUUUGGAUGGGGCGAAAAAACGGGAUUUAUCCUGGACUGACGGUACCAUCAGAAUAAGCACCGGCUAACUCCGUGCCAGCAGCCGC
RNAcentral lists this ribosomal RNA (493 nucleotides) under uncultured bacterium. RNAcentral describes it as "bacterial SSU rRNA". It matches the Rfam family "Bacterial small subunit ribosomal RNA", at positions 28 to 518 of the family's 1533-position model. The record is from RNAcentral.